GAGUUUAGCGUGNUCGCGAGUCAUUGGGUGUUACACAACCUAAUGGGGAAAANAAAGUCAAGAGCNGNNCCUSUGACUGUCGAGGGAUGAUGAGCUACUGAUCUGGUCGUUCUAACCGGCGACUGAGCGUGUCUCCGCACUCCCGGGGCGAUUCGUUCUCAUUGCGAGUGGAAGCGCACCAAGAGCGAGUACUGCUGAAACCCCAAAGAAGGUGAACUAUGCCUGGCCAGGACGAAACCUGGGGAAACCCGGGUGGARGUCCGCAACCAUUCUGACGUGCAAAUCGAUCGUCGGAGCUGGGUAUAGGGGCGAAAGACCAAUCGAACCAUCUAGUAGCUGGUUCCCUCUGAAGUUUCCCUCAGGAUAGCUUGCGCUCGGGUGUGAAGAGUCUCAUCCGGUAGAGCGAAUGAUUUGAGGCCUUGGGGUCGAAACGACCUCAACCUAUUCUCAAACUCCGAAUACAUUAUAACCCCGGCUUGCUUGAACUUUGGUGCCUUAUUGAAGCCGCGGGACUCGGAUCAGAGUGCCAAGUGGGCCAAUUUUG
Molecule: ribosomal RNA, 544 nt
Filed under: Leptoypha mutica
Lineage: Eukaryota; Metazoa; Arthropoda; Insecta; Hemiptera; Tingidae
Description: eukaryotic LSU rRNA
Rfam family: Eukaryotic large subunit ribosomal RNA
Source: RNAcentral